UGUAGCCCCCUCGCCAGUGGCCGAUCGUUGGGGCCGAGUAUUGUCCGAAAGGCCAAAAAAAAAAGGAAAGAGGGAGGUUGGGGGACAGCUACGUGACCGGGAGAGGAUUUAUAACAUUUUCUUUUGCCACCGACAAUAUUGCAAAAUGUAUGAAAGAGACAGCAUCGCUGGGACAGGAGCGUGAGGGCGCGGGCAAGCGUUUCUCCCCCUACCGGAAAUCUGAUGGGCUUAUGACAUCAUGGCUGGCUGCUGAGCGAUGAAGUGGAUGCCACAAAGAAAUCCGACAUAUCAGAUGGCUUCUGAAAUCAGUUCCCCUCCGGCUGUAGUAACAGGCCUGAAGUCAGGAGAAUGUGAGCUUUGUUUAAAAAA
Hipposideros armiger (great roundleaf bat) is the source of this 369-nucleotide long non-coding RNA. RefSeq lists it as uncharacterized. NCBI's taxonomy places the organism in Eukaryota, Metazoa, Chordata, Mammalia, Chiroptera, Hipposideridae. The transcript has 2 exons. The record is from RefSeq and is a predicted model, not a curated record.